This 81-nucleotide transfer RNA is filed under the name Streptomyces lunaelactis. RNAcentral describes it as "tRNA-Ser". Lineage: Bacteria; Bacillati; Actinomycetota; Actinomycetes; Kitasatosporales; Streptomycetaceae. The record is from RNAcentral.
GGGGGUAGGCGCCGUGAUACCCCAUCGGUCUUGAAAACCGUCGUGGCAGCGAUGUCACCGUGGGUUCAAAUCCCACACCCA